RNAcentral lists this ribosomal RNA (492 nucleotides) under uncultured bacterium. RNAcentral's name for it is "partial 16S ribosomal RNA". It matches the Rfam family "Bacterial small subunit ribosomal RNA", at positions 29 to 507 of the family's 1533-position model. The record is from RNAcentral.
AGUGAACGCUGGCGGUAGGCCUAACACAUGCAAGUCGAACGGCAGCACAGUAAGAGCUUGCUCUUACGGGUGGCGAGUGGCGGACGGGUGAGGAAUACAUCGGAAUCUACUUUUUCGUGGGGGAUAAUGUAGGGAAACUUACGCUAAUACCGCAUACGACCUACGGGUGAAAGCAGGGGAUCUUCGGACCUUGCGCGAUUGAAUGAGCCGAUGUCGGAUUAGCUAGUUGGCGGGGUAAAGGCCCACCAAGGCGACGAUCCGUAGCUGGUCUGAGAGGAUGAUCGGCCACACUGGAACUGAGACACGGUCCAGACUCCUACGGGAGGCGGCAGUGGGGAAUAUUGGACAAUGGGCGCAAGCCUGAUCCAGCCAUACCGCGUGGGUGAAGAAGGCCUUCGGGUUGUAAAGCCCUUUUGUUGGGAAAGAAAAGCAGCAGGUUAAUACCCCGCUGUUCUGACGGUACCCAAAGAAUAAGCACCGGCUAACUUCGUG